CAUUUGAUGAUGAAAUUCUUAGAUAAAAUUCUACAAUAGUGGAUAUAUUACAUCCAUGAAAAGGUUUAAAUUACCAUUCUGUUCUUGGCUGCAAAGACACCGUACUGUGACCAAGACCUUCCCCUUGAGAGACACAUGGUCAAAUCUCUGGAUACACAAAUCAGUUUGUUCUUUUUAAUGCCUCUAAAAAUGCUAACUAUUCAGGUCCAGUGUAAUUGUUAGCCUUCAGAUGACUCUUUUAAGCUCUUAUCAUGGACUGAAUUGUUUGGAAUAUACAUGAACUAGUUCUCUGGUUUAGGCUGAAGUAGACCCUCGUGAGUACUCUGCCAGCUCUUUUUGCAAGCUCCACUUUUGAGAACUGUUGACAAACACUCUGGACAAUAUUCUAUCCUGCAAUCAUGAAUUCCUGUUGUUCUGUUGAACAUGCCACACUUUAAAUAAAAGCCAUUGCUUCCUGGAGGGCAGAACCACAGUCCUAGCAGGCAGUACUGACCUUGACAUCACACGGUACUUACUGUGUCAUUUGUAUGUAAUUCUUGUACAUGGAGAUAUGGAAAAUUGUUGCUGACAGUGUGUUUCAUGUUAUUUUUCCACUGACCAUGCGCACAGAGUGUAAAUGUCAAGCAACCCUUGUACCAAAUCUUAUGCAUUACAACAUAAAUGUACCAGUAGUUCACAGACGUGUAAGAAGAAUUUCUUACAGGAGACCCAGCAAGCUUGGACUUUAGCUGGCUGUUAUGCACUCUCUAAAUCUUUGUCACUUGAGAUAAACACGUCCCUCGCAAACACAGUGGGAAUCACACUUACAUGGGGUUUUCAUAUGUCAGACUGUAGUCUCUUUCACUUAUGCUAUAUUCACUACGUAUUAUGUAGUGAUUUAUAUAAUAAAAAUUUAAUACUACAUAUUCACUUACACUACACACCAUCAAAAGGCCUUUCCUUUAACAGUCUCAUUGGAAAUUAUUUGCCAGCUCUGUCAUGCUGCACACAUGCAUGCACACUCCUAAAGCAACCAGCCUCUUUGAUUUUGGCCUUUCUAAAACACAACAACAGAUUUCUCUCCCCAUGGGGUUAGAGCCCCAGAGAAAAAGGUCUGGAGAGAUAUGUAUGCAUAUAAUGGAAACACAGUGUAGUCCAUCAACUUACUUAAGAUCAAUACCUAAAAGAUUACUAAGCUUGAUUUUUCCAAUACCAGCACUACAAAGAACAGUUGUAUCCCUUUGGUUGCUCUAAUGUGGGAAAAGGAACACAUAUGCUGGUAGAAUCAUAUUUGUAUGCUGCUAAUGUUGAGCUAGAGGGAAGCUGGAGAGUUCAAAGCCACUUUUUCAUUUGGAAAAAGCAUAAAAAGAACGAGACACAGAGUGAAGUAGCAGAAAGAAAAGGGACCACUACCACCACCAACUCCUUAGGCACACAGAAAUGCAGGAACAGCAAGUGAACCAUAUGGCUUCAAGGAUUUCCCUGAGGAGUGGUACAGCAAAUGCUGGAACUGGGGCACUGGUGGGUACCCCAAGGACAUAAAGAAUGCUAACAUUUGCCUCACGUAAAUAAAAGUUGUGACAAAA
Molecule: long non-coding RNA, 1565 nt
Organism: Pseudopipra pipra
Lineage: Eukaryota; Metazoa; Chordata; Aves; Passeriformes; Pipridae
Exons: 2
Source: RefSeq, a predicted model, not a curated record